This is a long non-coding RNA of Oreochromis niloticus (Nile tilapia), 216 nucleotides long. RefSeq lists it as uncharacterized. The transcript has 2 exons. NCBI's taxonomy places the organism in Eukaryota, Metazoa, Chordata, Actinopteri, Cichliformes, Cichlidae. The record is from RefSeq and is a predicted model, not a curated record.
CUUCUACUUAACUGAGGGCUGAAGGGAACAUUCAACACUCAGCUCACACAAUGGCUUACAGGGCGGGGCUGCUGAUUUUAACUAUCUGCUGGGCAGGUGUUGAUGGUCAGACUCUGACACAGUCUGAACCAGUGGUCAAAAACCCUGGUAAUUCACACAGACUGACAUGUACAGCAUCUGGAUUCACAUUCAGCAACUACUUUAUGCACUGGAUCA